Molecule: ribosomal RNA, 458 nt
Filed under: uncultured bacterium
Lineage: Bacteria
Description: partial 16S ribosomal RNA
Rfam family: Bacterial small subunit ribosomal RNA
Source: RNAcentral
CCUACGGGAGGCAGCAGUGAGGAAUAUUGGUCAAUGGGCGAGAGCCUGAACCAGCCAAGUCGCGUGAGGGAGUACUGCCCUAUGGGUUGUAAACCUCUUUUGCCGGGGAGCAAAAGCCGGACGUGUCCGGAUGUGAGAGUACCCGAAGAAAAAGCAUCGGCUAACUAAGUGCCAGCAGCCGCGGUAAUACGGGGGAUGCGAGCGUUAUCCGGAUCUAUUGGGUUUAAAGGGUGCGCAGGCGGAUUUCUAAGGCAGCGGUCAAAUCGUGGGGCUCAACCCCAUCCAGUCGUUGAAACUGGGGGUCUGGAGUGUGCGAGAGGUAUGCGGAAUGCGUGGUGUAGCGGUGAAAUGCAUAGAUAUCACGCAGAACCCCGAUUGCGAAGGCAGCAUACCGGUGCGCAACUGACGUUCAGGCUCGAAAGCGUGGGUAUCGAACAGGAUUAGAUACCCUAGUAGUC